This 407-nucleotide ribosomal RNA is filed under the name uncultured bacterium. RNAcentral's name for it is "partial 16S ribosomal RNA". It matches the Rfam family "Bacterial small subunit ribosomal RNA", at positions 355 to 774 of the family's 1533-position model. The record is from RNAcentral.
UGGGGAAUAUUGCACAAUGGGCGCAAGCCUGAUGCAGCAACGCCGCGUGCGGGAUGACGGCCUUCGGGUUGUAAACCGCUUUCAUCCAUGACGAGGCGAGAGUGACGGUAGUGGAAGAAGAAGCACCGGCUAACUACGUGCCAGCAGCCGCGGUGAUACGUAGGGUGCGAGCGUUGUCCGGAUUUAUUGGGCGUAAAGAGCUUGUAGGCGGUUUGUCGCGUCGGGAGUGAAAACUCAGGGCUUAACCCUGAGCCUGCUUCCGAUACGGGCAGACUUGAGGAAGGUAGGGGAGAUUGGAAUUCCUGGUGAAGCGGUGGAAUGCGUAGAUAUCAGGAGGAACACCAGUGGCGAAGGCGGAUCUCUGGACCUUUCCUGACGCUGAGAAGCGAAAGCGUGGGGAGCAAACA